Long non-coding RNA from Perognathus longimembris pacificus (Pacific pocket mouse), 172 nucleotides. RefSeq lists it as uncharacterized. Lineage: Eukaryota; Metazoa; Chordata; Mammalia; Rodentia; Heteromyidae. The transcript has 3 exons. The record is from RefSeq and is a predicted model, not a curated record.
UUGACAAGGUGAUAUACAGAGGGGGUACAGUUAUAUAAUAAGGUAAUGAGUACAUAUCUUGUCAUAUUUAUUAUACCCUCCCUCAUUUUUCUUUCCCUGCCCUAUUUCAGGUAAGCAUAUAUUCAAUAUCCAAUGUACCAAAACUAUAUACAGUGAACAUUGGGGAUACUCU